GCCAUUUUAUUACCGCUCAUUGGCGACAUAGUUCGUCCCAAAGCUUCCCAUUAAAAAUGUUAUUCAAAAUAAAGUAGUGAAUGUAUUUCUCUUUGGUCUUCAAGGCUAGUUAAGUGAACCAGGCGACAUCUAUUUGAGUAUGAUGGCAGUGGGUAACAGAAGUUAAGGGAUGUAAGGGUAAAUUUCAGGAAUUUUUUUUGGAGACGUUCAAUUCUAUUGACAUGAGCAGCUGCCGUAGGGCUACGUAUGUAUAAAGGCAGCAUGCUCCAAUUUAAACGCACAUAUGCCGAAAACAAUGCCGACUUUGUGUACGGUUCAAAUUGAGAGACCCAAGAAUGUAAUUUAAGUGUUUGGCAAAAUUAAGUUUGCUGUCAAAUAGUACCCCAAAAAUGAAGAGAAUACAAAAUUGUGGAUUACCCAUAUAUGUGCAAUUCCGCGAUAGUUGUAGAUCGACCAGCUUUUUCACCCGCAAUCGAAUUUACAGCCUACUAGUCGCAACAGCGAGUUUUAGAUACUUUUUCCAUCUCUUUUUAGCACAUGUACCUCUUAUUGCCUCGUACUUUGAUCGACAAAAAGAUUCGCCAGAGAAAAAAAUUUUUUUUUUUUCUAGCGAGACGUGUGCUUUGGUCAUACUGUCAAAUCAGCUGGGCUGACAAGCAAAUUAAUUUGAAAAAGCAAAAUCGAAGAUGUUGAACAUAAACUACGCCAGAGUUUAAUUUGGUAUUGGAAUGGUGGCAGAUACGCGGCUUUUUCGUGUUUGUGUUGUUUUCCCCUCCAUUACGCUUCCUCACACAGAUCGACGAAGAAAAUACCAGAAAAUUUCAAGGCGUUGCCAGAAAAAGAACAGAAUAUUUAUUCUUUUGAGCUUGGAGUUGUCGGAGCAUAGUAUUUACCGAGUCAAAAAAAUAUAGGAAAAAACCCAAUAAACGCAGAAAAAUCGACUACAAUAAAAAAAUGUUUACGACAAAAAAUUCGCGAUCUAUAUAUAUGCCACUUUUGUUGAACGCGUCCCAAAAUAUAGCUGAAAACGUUUACAAAGAUUUGGAUUCAUAAUUUUACAUUGGGCGUAUUCAGCAGAACAACAUUAUCACUGAUGGAUCAGUAUUAAGAAAAGGUAGCGUACUAUUUUUACGCUCCUUUUAUGCUGAUUGUGAUGGAAGAAUUUUUGCAACAUGAUCAAUGAUCAUACGCCUUCGGCAGAACUAUCGUAAGAAAUCCAUCAGUGAUCAUGCUGUUCUGCUAAUAAGAUUUAAAACCAAACCAAGUAUGUGCGUCUGCCUGAAAGAAAAUGGCGUUUGCUUGUUUGUUUUGAUGUGUAAAUGAAAACUAACAAAAGCUGGGAAAGCAAACAAAAACUAUGAUUUAUAGCAAAAAUAACCUUGGCAAAGAUCAAUUGCAUACUUAUGUAAGACAAUCAAUUAGCCGAAAUGUAUGCUGUACGCGAUGAGAACUUGCUGCCCUAAGGAGUUUGUACAUUUUAAAGGCGUUACGACUUGAUCUUGAACCAUAUUUAAGCCAUUACCAAGUACCCAAUUAGUUAAAUGACAAUAUAAACUUGAAAAUUCGCUUGCAACUGAUUAAAUUGAAAUAUAUAUCCUCCCGCCUCCGUUUUUCAGCUGUUUUUUGUUGUUAGAUGGGUUGUUGUGCACGAUAGUGUUUAGACUCACUUUUCCCCAUCUCUACAUCCCUAUGCAAAUCCUAUUAAAAGAAGAAAGGAAGCAAACUUUGGCAUGCCGUAGUUUAUAUACCCUAGCAGAGGGUAUUAUAAUUUCAGUCAGAUGUUUGCAACGCAGUGAAGGAGACAUU
Molecule: long non-coding RNA, 1806 nt
Organism: Drosophila gunungcola (fruit fly)
Lineage: Eukaryota; Metazoa; Arthropoda; Insecta; Diptera; Drosophilidae
Exons: 3
Source: RefSeq, a predicted model, not a curated record